GUGGGGAAUCUUGCGCAAUGGGCGAAAGCCUGACGCAGCAACGCCGCGUGGGGGAUGAAGGCUCUCGGGUUGUAAACCCCUUUCAGCAGGAACGAAAAUGACGGUACCUGCAGAAGAAGGCCCGGCCAACUACGUGCCAGCAGCCGCGGUAAUACGUAGGGGCCAAGCGUUGUCCGGAUUUAUUGGGCGUAAAGAGCUCGUAGGCGGUUUGGAUAGUCGGGUGUGAAAACUCCGAGCUCAACUCGGAGACGCCACCCGAUACUGCCAUGACUAGAGUCCGGUAGGGGAGCAGGGAAUUCCUGGUGUAGCGGUGAAAUGCGCAGAUAUCAGGAGGAACACCGGUGGCGAAGGCGCUGCUCUGGGCCGGUACUGACGCUGAGGAGCGAAAGCGUGGGUAGCAAACAGGAUUAGAAACCCCAGUAGUCC
Molecule: ribosomal RNA, 426 nt
Filed under: uncultured bacterium
Lineage: Bacteria
Description: bacterial SSU rRNA
Rfam family: Bacterial small subunit ribosomal RNA
Source: RNAcentral